UACGGAGGGGGUUAGCGUUGUUCGGAAUUACUGGGCGUAAAGCGCGCGUAGGCGGAUUAGAAAGUUGGGGGUGAAAUCCCGGGGCUCAACCUCGGAACUGCCUCCAAAACUGCUAGUCUAGAGUUCGAGAGAGGUGAGUGGAAUUCCGAGUGUAGAGGUGAAAUUCGUAGAUAUUCGGAGGAACACCAGUGGCGAAGGCGGCUCACUAGCUCGAUACUGACGCUGAGGUGCGAAAGUGUGGGGAGCAAACAGG
Molecule: ribosomal RNA, 253 nt
Filed under: uncultured bacterium
Lineage: Bacteria
Description: partial 16S ribosomal RNA
Rfam family: Bacterial small subunit ribosomal RNA
Source: RNAcentral